This is a small nuclear RNA of Loxodonta africana (African savanna elephant), 107 nucleotides long. NCBI's taxonomy places the organism in Eukaryota, Metazoa, Chordata, Mammalia, Proboscidea, Elephantidae. The record is from Ensembl.
CUGCUUGUUUCAGCAGCACAUAUACUAAAAUUGGAAUGAGACAGAGAAGAUUAGCAUGGCCCCCACGCAAGGAUGACAUGAAAAUUUGUCAAGUGUUGCAUAUUUUU